UAACCGCUUUCACCCAAUCACACCAACAAACUUAGACACAUUUAUUCACUCAUACACAGUCUGAUUGGGAUCUUGGGUUACAUGUCUUGCCCAGCAGUAUACCAACCCACAAUGGAAUCAAACCCAUUUGGAGCAUAAGACCACAACUCCACCCACUGAACCACCAUCACCCUCUGUCUCUUGUUCUGUCCUGCAUGAUCAGCAAGGUGACAUCUUAUAAAUCCUCAGGGUCCAGUUGGCAUUGCCUUGACAGUCAUCAAGGUACCGAUUGGUGACUAUUUCCAUUCAAGUCCAAUUAUCAAUGACUCUAAUCUUGUUCAAUCAAGGCCAAUGCACUGAUAGUCUUCAAGGGUCCUUUGAAGCUCCAAUCUGUAUUACCUCUCCAGUCUUCCAGAAUGUGCUGCUUAAAGCCUUGGCAGCUUUUAAGGGUCUGAUAAGGGAAUUCUUGUCAGUCUUUAGGGCGUAGUUGGCAGCGCCUCGUUUGUUGAGCUGCCGUAAUCUACUCUUUGUCAUAUCAUGUUGAGCUGAGUACAGACACAUUUUGUGUGUGUGUGUGUGUGGAGGGGGGGGGGGGGGGGGGGGGGGGGGUGACUUUUCCACUGCUGCAGAGCGAGACUAGCAGGUGCUGCUUCACCUGUUGCUGCUCAUUUUAGUUCAUCAGGAGGCAAUAUUUAAGGAGCAGCAGAACUAGAGAGGAAUUGCCAGAUAUUUUGAUUCUCCUGAGUCUUACACAGCUGCUCACUCUGCUUCCUGGAAGCCACUUCUCUACCUGUCUGCCCUCCAUCACUGACAGCCACAGGACUUAUCGAGAAACAACUUAAAAAGGAAGAAUACAAACCCCAUCAUGCCCUCUGCUAACCUCAGCCACACAGUACCGACUCUUCAAUGAUCUAUCAUCAUUUCACCAAGAAAGACUAAGAAAAACAAUAACAGAAAGAUUCUCCUCUUCUGCACAUUUCCAUCCUCACACCAGAACCAGACCAAUCUAUCCAUCCUUCCCUCUUGCCACCUGCACAGAGAAGCUCCUGUGGAUCAAGAAGUAAAAACAAAGUAUUUUUUUUACUAUUAUUUCUGUCAGUAAUAAACUCUUUUAUUUGA
Molecule: long non-coding RNA, 1098 nt
Organism: Xiphophorus hellerii (green swordtail)
Lineage: Eukaryota; Metazoa; Chordata; Actinopteri; Cyprinodontiformes; Poeciliidae
Exons: 2
Source: RefSeq, a predicted model, not a curated record